This is a long non-coding RNA of Sebastes umbrosus (honeycomb rockfish), 230 nucleotides long. RefSeq lists it as uncharacterized. The transcript is spliced from 5 exons. NCBI's taxonomy places the organism in Eukaryota, Metazoa, Chordata, Actinopteri, Perciformes, Sebastidae. The record is from RefSeq and is a predicted model, not a curated record.
CUGAAGUUAUCCGGCUGCGACAGAUUAGUGAUAAAGGUCAACAUAAGUGGAGCACAGUUCAUGCAAAUGACCCCGUGUGACCUUCAAGUGUUCCCCAGCCUUUAUGUCCCAAUCAUUACUAAGAUCCAAAGUGAAAUCAACCACGGGGAACAGAAGAGGGCCUUUGGUCAUAAAUCAAAGGCACCACAGUACCCAAAACAAGUAUUUGUACAGGAGGAAGAAGUUUGGGA